This is an RNA transcript of Pistacia vera, 1590 nucleotides long. It is a transcript of the gene named (R)-limonene synthase 1, chloroplastic-like, with no coding region annotated. The transcript is spliced from 3 exons. NCBI's taxonomy places the organism in Eukaryota, Viridiplantae, Streptophyta, Magnoliopsida, Sapindales, Anacardiaceae. The record is from RefSeq and is a predicted model, not a curated record.
AAGCAUAGCAUAUUGCUACAAGCUUAACUUAAUUUAUAGUAAUGGCUUUUUGCAUGAAAUCAACCUCUAUUCCUUCUCCCACUGUUUUCAAAUAUUCAACUAGACUGCUUGUCCCAAGAAGAGCAACCAGCAGAAUCAGUGUUCACAAGAAAUUCCAAUGCAUUGCUGGCUCGGAACUUAGUACUUCAACUGUUGUUAGGCGAUCAGGAAACUACCACCCUUCGAUUUGGGACGAAGGCUAUCUGCUCUCAUUAACUAGCGACUAUACGGGAGAUGCUUACAGAAAACAAGCAGAAAGGCUGAAGGAAGAAGUGAGGAUGAUAAUGAUGAUCAAUGAAGUGACGAAGCCAUUGGUUCAACUACAGCUGAUUGACACCGUACAAAGACUUGGACUGAGUUAUCAAUUUGACAAUGAGAUUACGAGCAUAUUGCAUAAUAUCCACAAUAACAGCGAUGAUAAAUUGAAGAAAGAAAAUCUACAUGCAGUUUCUCUAGAAUUUAGACUCCUCAGACAACAUGCUUAUUAUGUUUCUCAAGGUAGUGAAGCUGUUAAUUUCUUUUUAGUCUAUAUAAAUUGGAGAAAAACAAUGCUUUAUUGCGCUUUUCAACCAAAUGACAUGGUUUAUGACAUUCUCAGACAUAAGGAUUCAAAAGUGGUGCUGAAUCCUUAUCUCUGAGAAUGUCAUAAAUCAUUUCAUUAACAUGAUUGAAAAGCGCAAGAAAAGCAUAUUUUCAUGUAGUGCGGCAGCUGUUCAAUUAUAUUUAUAUAUAUAUACAUGUAUACACAUAUAUUUGUUCUUCUUAAAUUUUACCUUUGUAUUUGUUUAUAAGGUUUUAUGUUUCAUUCAUUUCUCACAAAUAUAAUGUUCUAAUUCUACUUCUUUUUGCCAUGUGCAUCAGUGGGCAAGUUUAUUGCAAGCCUUUUUUCAGGAGGCAAAAUGGUACCACGCUCAAUAUAAACCAACACUGGAAGAAUAUAUGAAAAAGGUACUUAUACCCAUCACGGGCCCUAUAAUAUCAAUUCUAUCAUACUUGUCUUCUACAGAUCCGAUUUUAAAGAAGGAAUUAUAAUAUAAAGAAAGCAAUUCUGCGGUAGUAUACUGGGCAUCUGUAGUUUUUCGGCUGCAAGAUGAUUUGGGAACUUCAACGAUAUUAAAAUUGUCAUUAUUAUCUACACUUGCGUUAAAAUGUUAUUGAAUUUGAUUGAUUAAUUAAUUGUGUUUCUUUCAAUUAUUCAGGACGAGAUAAAAAUAGGGGAUGUUCCUAAAGCUUUGCAGUGUCACAUCAAUGACACUGGUUGUUAUGAGGAAGCUGCUCGUGAACACAUCAAGGAACUAAUGAGAGAAGGUUGGAAGAAGUAUUAAAUAUCGUCGAGGUUUGCUGAAAACAAAUAAACCACCUUCGGUGUUGGUACCUCUUUGUUUUGUCUCUUUGUCGAUUGCCAACCUAUGAAUUUCCAAGAAGUAGUGCAAGUCAAGAAGUAGAGAGAUGCAAUGGACGAAGAAAUCAAAGCAAUUGUGAAUAAUGACAUGUGGGAACAUAUUCAUCUCCUAAAAGAUACAAGGCGAUAAGAGUUAAGUGGGUUUACAA